This 253-nucleotide ribosomal RNA is filed under the name uncultured bacterium. RNAcentral's name for it is "partial 16S ribosomal RNA". It matches the Rfam family "Bacterial small subunit ribosomal RNA", at positions 524 to 776 of the family's 1533-position model. The record is from RNAcentral.
UACGAAGGGGGCUAGCGUUGUUCGGAAUUACUGGGCGUAAAGCGCGCGUAGGCGGCUAUGCAAGUCAGAGGUGAAAGGCCUGGGCUUAACCCGGGAGUGGCCUUUGAGACUGCAAGGCUUGAGAGUGGGAGAGGAUGGUGGAAUUCCCAGUGUAGAGGUGAAAUUCGUAGAUAUUGGGAAGAACACCGGUUGCGAAGGCGGCCAUCUGGCCCACCACUGACGCUGAAGCGCGAAAGCGUGGGGAGCAAACAGG